Molecule: ribosomal RNA, 368 nt
Filed under: uncultured organism
Description: bacterial LSU rRNA
Rfam family: Bacterial large subunit ribosomal RNA
Source: RNAcentral
CUUUACUGUAGCCUGGAAUUGGGUCCGGGCUUCGCUUGCGCAGGAUAGGUGGGAGGCACUGAAACACUCCUUGUGGGGAGUGUGGAGCCAACGGUGAGAUACCACUCUGGCAAGGCUAGAAUUCUAACCUCUGCCCGUUAGCCGGGAGAGGAACAGUUUCAGGCGGGUAGUUUGACUGGGGCGGUCGCCUCCUAAAAGGUAACGGAGGCGCGCAAAGGUUCCCUCCGGCUGGUUGGAAAUCAGCCCGUGAAGUGCAAAGGCAUAAGGGAGCUUGACUGCAAGAGCCACACCUCGAGCAGGGACGAAAGUCGGCCUUAGUGAUCCGACGGCGCUGAGUGGAAGGGCCGUCGCUCAACGGAUAAAAGUUA